CAAGGAAUAGCUGGGUCAAAUGGUUGUUCCAUUCCAAGUUUUCUGAGGAAUAUCCCUACUGCUUUCCAUAGUGGUUGUACCAAUGUGCAGUCCUACCAGCAAU
RNAcentral lists this microRNA precursor (103 nucleotides) under Marmota monax (woodchuck). The record is from RNAcentral. Lineage: Eukaryota; Metazoa; Chordata; Mammalia; Rodentia; Sciuridae.